GCAGUGGUGGUGCAGCGGUAGAAUCCUCACCUCCCAUGCAAGAGAAAUCCAGGUUCAAUCCCUGGCCAAUGCA
This 73-nucleotide transfer RNA is filed under the name Loxodonta africana (African savanna elephant). It matches the Rfam family "tRNA". Rfam says of the family: Transfer RNA (tRNA) molecules are approximately 80 nucleotides in length. Their secondary structure includes four short double-helical elements and three loops (D, anti-codon, and T loops). The record is from Rfam by way of RNAcentral. Lineage: Eukaryota; Metazoa; Chordata; Mammalia; Proboscidea; Elephantidae.